Molecule: unclassified non-coding RNA, 239 nt
Filed under: uncultured fungus
Lineage: Eukaryota; Fungi
Description: sequence contains ITS1
Source: RNAcentral
GUAUUUUUGCGCGUUAUGCACAUAGACAUUCCAUUACAUUAAGAGUGUAUAAAAAGUACUCUGAGAGCCAGGUCAACAGAUGUCAACCAACUGCAAGUCAAACAAGUCGACAGGCGGACCCCAGAGUCAAAGGUGCACAGGUGUGUGGAUUUGCGGCCAACGUGCACAUGUGUUUCCACCAGCACAGAAGACCGACUUAUAAUUCAUUAAUGAUCCUUCCGCAGGUUCACCUACGGAAA